AUUCCAUGGUGAGGGCAUUGCCUAAGUAGAUCCUUGAUUCAUUCCCAAGCUUCAAAUAGAGACUCUUCAUCUCCUUGCCUAAAUGAUGUGAUUUUGUUUCUCAUCUU
This is a small nucleolar RNA of Vicia villosa (hairy vetch), 107 nucleotides long. The record is from RefSeq and is a predicted model, not a curated record. NCBI's taxonomy places the organism in Eukaryota, Viridiplantae, Streptophyta, Magnoliopsida, Fabales, Fabaceae.